This 442-nucleotide ribosomal RNA is filed under the name uncultured bacterium. RNAcentral describes it as "partial 16S ribosomal RNA". It matches the Rfam family "Bacterial small subunit ribosomal RNA", at positions 338 to 795 of the family's 1533-position model. The record is from RNAcentral.
CCUACGGGGGGCAGCAGUGGGGAAUAUUGCGCAAUGGGGGCAACCCUGACGCAGCAACGCCGCGUGAUUGAAGAAGGCCUUCGGGUUGUAAAGAUCUUUAAUCGGGGACGAAUUUUGACGGUACCCGAAGAAUAAGCUCCGGCUAACUACGUGCCAGCAGCCGCGGUAAUACGUAGGGAGCAAGCGUUAUCCGGAUUUAUUGGGUUUAAAGGGUGCGUAGGCUGUGAGGUAAGUCAGCGGUGAAAUGCCCCCGCUCAACGGGGUGAAGUGCCAUUGAUACUGCCUUGCUGGAAUGCGGAUGCCGUGGGAGGAAUGUGUGGUGUAGCGGUGAAAUGCAUAGAUAUCACACAGAACACCGAUUGCGAAGGCAUCUCACGAAUCCGCGAUUGACGCUGAUGCACGAAAGCGUGGGUAUCAAACAGGAUUAGAUACCCUAGUAGUC